This 351-nucleotide ribosomal RNA is filed under the name Triticum aestivum (bread wheat). RNAcentral's name for it is "partial small subunit ribosomal RNA". The record is from RNAcentral. Lineage: Eukaryota; Viridiplantae; Streptophyta; Magnoliopsida; Poales; Poaceae.
AUGUUGUUCGCCGAGCCAUCCGUGUCGGUGGUGGAUGGGCUCCUCGCGCUGGCUGAGGAAGGCCGAGCGCCGUCGCGACUUCACCACCGCCAUCUCCUGCCUCGACUCGGCGCUCAGCCCGCCCCACGUCGCCUCGCUCCUCCCGCUCACCGAGGCCUGCGCGCGGAUGCGCCUCGCCGGAUGCGGGCGAGGCCAGCAGGCAGCCGGGGCGGCUCACCGACUCCUGCUCCCCUGCAGCUUCACCGAGGGCCACCAUGGUUGAUUCGCCUCACUCUGCCCCUCGGCGUCCGCUUUAUCUUCGCCCGUCUGGAUCUUCCGGGCGCUUCACAGCUCUGCUGGCCUCGGCCUUGA